Xenopus laevis (African clawed frog) is the source of this 1599-nucleotide non-coding RNA. NCBI's taxonomy places the organism in Eukaryota, Metazoa, Chordata, Amphibia, Anura, Pipidae. The record is from the annotation of a RefSeq genome assembly.
UCGCCGCAAAUUCGCGCCUGGCGAAUAAAUUCGCCCAUCACUAAUGUCAGGCUGAUGAUAAGUAUAUGAAUUGGUGAGCUCUCAUACUGAUCUCAUACUGAUAAGCAUAGUGUCUGUGUGCAGUUUCUUCUCUAUCUAGAAAGAAAGCUGAUGUGAAAUUGAGCUAAUACAACAUACAAGCUAAAAGGAAACAUCAGAUUUUGAAAAUAUUUGGCACAACUGCAUUCUAAUUGCAACAAAGCACAGGCCCAGAUACAUUAGUAUUAGUAAAUUGGAUGCAACUGUGGGAGGUGCAACACAUUUGAAUCAGCAAGCAUUGUCCCCUUUGUGACUGCAAUGACACUAGAAUUUUGCUCCAAAUUGUGUUCAAGUGGCAACUCUGAAUUUCUUAAAAACAAUCUUUAUUUGUGUAUCCACAAAAGGUUUGCAGUUCCCAAUGGCCCAAUGAAUGCCUGACAUAUUUCUGUAUAACCUGGUGAGUCUUGAGUGGGUUGCCUACUAUUGUCACUUGUAUCCAAAGCUGCUCCUGUGUUUGACCACGUUGAAUCCAUAAAACUUCGCAUUAGGAAUCACUCUCAAGUGUGUGUAUUGACACAGGGGACCCUUAGAGACACAAGCUGAUAGUCGCUCCAGAGUUUCCAGAGUAUCAAUAAAUACAGUGGACCUUAGAAAUGAUGAUAUUCUUUGUGGCAUUGCAUCUGAUUUGGGUCAAAACUGAAGCACAAUUGCACUUACUUUAAUUGUGUCGCUGGAAUUGCUACUGGAAUUUAUGAAAAAAAACCACUCCAUUCUAGGUAAAAUAAAAUCUACUUGAGUCUAAAACUGCACUUUGUAUACUGUACUUCCAAAAGUAUGUUUUAUUCAUUUAAUUUUUAAUUAAUAAUUUAUCUCCAUCCAGUAGUUCUACAGGUAUUCUUAUAUGGAGCAUGGUUCUGCUACUUGUUGCAUUUGUUUAGGUGCAACGAACCAUCACCCACCCUUAAAAGUCAGUGAUGUGAGAGGGAUGUUGGUUGGUGUUUUGCAUAGAGACAUUGUGUGGCUAAACUGCAGCUGCUAUAAAAGUGCCAGUGUCCCUGUGCCAUAUUAAUGAUCUGUAUGUGUCACAGUGCAUAGAUAGAGACAUGUCUUAUCCCACUUAUCUACUGCUGCUGCUGCUACUGGGGAUCCUCCUGAUCUUCAUCCAGGGUUCCUAUGGGCAGAUUGUACUGACUCAGUCUCCAGAUUAUGUCUCUGUGUCACCAGGAGAAACUGUCACCCUCACAUGUAAAGCCAGUAGCAGUGUUAGCGGCUAUCUCAACUGGUACCAACAGAAAUCAGGGCAGGCACCAAAGCUGCUGAUCUAUGAUGCAAGCAACAGAUACACAGGGACCCCAGAGCGGAUCAGCGGCAGUGGGUCUGGAACAGAUUACUCUCUUACAAUCAGCAGAAUGGAAGCAGAAGAUGCAGCAGAUUAUUACUGUCAACAGGGUAGCAUCUUUACCUCUCACACAGUGAUACAGAGCUGAACAAAAACCUUCCUCUUUCAGCUUGAAUGCAGAUCAGACUAAAACAUGACUCAGGACUCACUGUACCAGAAGACUGUUAGCUUCAUACUCUGUA